RNAcentral lists this unclassified non-coding RNA (1812 nucleotides) under Leishmania donovani. RNAcentral describes it as "gene:LdHU3.06.0420(CDS-product:NAD(P)-dependent_s teroid_dehydrogenase_protein_putative)". The record is from RNAcentral. Lineage: Eukaryota; Euglenozoa; Kinetoplastea; Trypanosomatida; Trypanosomatidae.
CUUCCAGAGUCGGAAAGGAGUGGUGAAAGAACUGUCAUAGCUUUGUUUCUUUCUUUUUCCCAUCGGCUGCUUGAUUUUUAUCGGCGGUGCUGCUCUUUUUAAAUAGUCUUUCUAUCGCUUGCACCAGAACAAUAGUGUUGUUGUGCAUCAAAAGGCCUGUUAAAUCCAGGCAAUCAAGUCAAGGCCUUUUCAGAAUCUUCAAUGCCGCCGAAAGAACUGAAUCCGCUGCUUUCACCUGAGCAGAAGAGGGCGGCGAGCCAGAGCUACCCCCCGGUUCCAAAGAAAUGCGUGGUAACUGGGGGAACGGGGUUCGUGGGAACUCGUUUGGUGGAGAUGCUAGUCGAACGAGGCGCCGAGAAGGUAGUGUGCUUUGAUAUAGUUCCAAAAGAAAAGGCUAUUGGUGUCUGGGACCACCCGGCGAUCGAAUACGUUGUUGGGGAUAUUACGUCCUACUCUGAUGUUUCGGCAGCCAUAGAGGGGAGUGACUGCGUUUGGCACCUUGCAGCUGCUGUGGGGCCUUUUCACCCACACGACUUGUACAGGCGUGUCAAUUAUGGGGGCACGGUGAACGUGAUCCGCGCCUGCAAGGAGCACGGUGUGAAGAAGAUGAUUUUCAGCUCAUCGCCUUCGACUCGGUUCAACGGUAGUCUCUUCCACCGCCCCAACGUCGACGGGCUUACCGAGGAUGAAAUGCCGAAACUGCCGCUUGAGCGUUACAUGCAAAUGUAUGCACAGACAAAGGCGGAGGGCGAAAUGGCGAUGCGGGAGUCCAUCGACGACGACUUCUGGUCUAUUGCGGUCGCUCCGCAUCAGGUGUAUGGCCCACGCGACAACCUGUUUUUGCCCAACAUGCUGGAGGCUGCGGGUACAGGUAAGCUGCGCGUCUUCGGCAAAGGCGACAACCGCAUCUGCUUCACCCACGUGGACAACUACUGUCAUGGCCUCAUCAUUGCGGAGAAGCAGUUGUACAAGAAUUCGCCGUACCUUGGGCGGUUCUACAUUGUGACCGAUGCUGACACGCAUCCUGAGCCGGCGGCGUACUGCAUUUUCUGGAAGGAGCUCGAUAAGGCUAUCGUGAGGAUGGGGUUUGGAUCCAUCAUGAACAAAGUUCACUACCCGUUCUGGUUCCUCUAUAUUGCAGCGCUUUUCGCGGAACUGGCAGGGUGGGUGAUGGGGACAACGUUCAAGCUCAACGUCUUCAACGUCUUUGUUCUCACGAUGAAUCGCUGGUUUCGGGUCGACGCGGCCAAGCACGAUCUCGAGUUUCAACCCAUCAUUCCUUUUGGGGAUGGCUGGAACGAUACGAUCGAAUGGUUCCAGCUGAAUUGGUUGCCUAAGUUCAAGAAGCAGGAUCACAGCUCUAUAGCCGGCAUUUCUUCCGGAUCGCAGCAGAAGAUCAACAUCCAGGCCCGCAAGGACAAGUAACAAACCGAAAAAGCAACAAAAAAUGUUGAUGCAACGCCACUUUCCGGCUCCUAUCUCUUUGUUUUUGCCUGUGUGUGCGUGCGUGUGCGUACCACAAGCUCCCGUUUUAUUGGAAAGCUCCGGCUCACUAUCAACAAACUGAAGAAUAAUCACUGGUAUGCGAUCGGCUCUGUAGAUUUUCUGAAAUCUGACUUCUUUGUGGGGUGUUUUAGGCAGCCCACUACACGGAAGGCGGAGAGCCUGAAGUUGCUGACAACAUACUGCGCGCCGUGCCAGAGGAGAUGGACAGCAAAAAAAAACCAGUGCAUAAUGCUUUUCUGUUUUGAAGCAGGGCCGCUGCGCGCUGCCGUUCUCUGACCUUAGGGCUGUGACAUCGCCCCGCAGACG